AUGGUUCUGGGGGAUUUUAACAAAAUUUUAUUUUCUUCGGAAAAAGAGGGUGGCAAUGCGAGACCAAAUGGAAUGAUGAGGGAUUUUCGUGAAUGUUUCAUGGAUUGUGGGCCGGAGGAUUUAGGUUAUAUCGGCGACCCUUUUACUUGGAGAAGAGGCGAAAUUCGAGAGUGCCUCGAUCGAGCCAUCUGCAAUAUAGGGUGGACACACAAAUUUCCUCGGGCGGCGGUGAUUAAUGAAGAAUAUGUUCCUUCGGAUCAUCGUCCACUGGUCUUGAAUGGAAUCUUCAGACGACCAGAGGGGCGUGUAAAGCAAUUUGAAGAUAUAUAG
RNAcentral lists this ribosomal RNA (330 nucleotides) under Triticum aestivum (bread wheat). RNAcentral describes it as "partial small subunit ribosomal RNA". The record is from RNAcentral. Lineage: Eukaryota; Viridiplantae; Streptophyta; Magnoliopsida; Poales; Poaceae.